This 508-nucleotide ribosomal RNA is filed under the name uncultured bacterium. RNAcentral describes it as "partial 16S ribosomal RNA". The record is from RNAcentral.
GGAGUUAGCCGGUGCUUCUUCUGUGAGUGAUGUCCUUCCUGCCGGUUAUUGACCCGCAGGCCUUCUUCCUCACUGAAAGUGCUUUACAACCCGAAGGCCUUCUUCACACACGCGGCAUGGCUGGAUCAGGGUUGCCCCCAUUGUCCAAUAUUCCCCACUGCUGCCUCCCGUAGGAGUCUGGGCCGUGUCUCAGUCCCAGUGUGGCUGAUCAUCCUCUCAGACCAGCUACGGAUCGUCGCCUUGGUGAGCCGUUACCUCACCAACCAGCUAAUCCGACAUAGGCUCAUCCGAUAGCGCGAGGCCCGAAGGUCCCCCGCUUUCCCCCGUAGGGCGUAUGCGGUAUUAGCCUGGGUUUCCCCAGGUUAUCCCCCACUACCCGGGCAGAUUCCUAUGCAUUACUCACCCGUCCGCCGCUCGCCACCAGGGAGCAAGCUCCCCGUGCUGCCGCUCGACUUGCAUGUGUUAGGCCUGCCGCCAGCGUUCAAUCUGAGCCAGAAUCGAACCCUGA